GAAGAGUCUUAACUCCUCCCACCCAUCUCUGAGACAAUGGACAGUGGAGUCCAGAUCCAGUGAACCUCUGGUGUAAAAACAGCUUCUUUGGAGAAGGAGGUAUGAAUUCUUUAAGCUUCCAUCAUUUUCUGCUUUUAGUCUCUCAGUCUGUACUUGGCUACAUUGUCUCCUUCAAACACACCGUUUCUCUUCUGAAGUGGCGGUAUGCUAUGGAGGUCUCCAGCAGGCAUUAUCUGAGGUCUAUCACCAAACCUGUCUGUGACUGGCUUAAUUUCUUAACUUCUUUGCACCUCAAUUCUCAUCUAAUAAAUGGGUAUUCCUUUUUUUUUUUUUCCAGUGUGUCAUUACUUAAGACUGUACAUUGAGCAAAACAAUGACUAUCACUGUGUUUGGUGUAUUGCACAACACAGCGAGGCUGAACUCUGCGAGAUCCACAGCUACUUUAUAAAUCAGGGUCACAACUGCUGGAUGAGAACACAAGUCAGAGCUGCCUCCUCAAUCUCUUUCUUAGGAGAACAGCACCCAAAAUUUGAGACUCCCUUAAGAAUUUAGUGAGCUUGGUAUCUCAUAUUCCUUCUUCUUUUCUUGAAGUUCCUUGAAAUAAACUAAAAAUUUGGGAGUUCCUACAAGAUUCAGCUACCAGAAGUGCUGUGCAACUACAGCUGAAAAGUAAAUUAUAUAUGUGGACAAGAGAAAAAAACAGCAGUUAGAAUAGCCUGAAUAGUAUGCAUGCAUUGCACAUUUCCCAUUUAAACCAAUGCUGUUGCUGUCCGCUAGUUCAGUUACUGCCAGUGUGUGGCUUUGGGCGAAGCAAUUUUCUGCUCCACUUUUUCCAUCUGUGAGACAAAGAAAGCAUGAAAACAGGG
Molecule: long non-coding RNA, 866 nt
Organism: Pezoporus occidentalis (night parrot)
Lineage: Eukaryota; Metazoa; Chordata; Aves; Psittaciformes; Psittacidae
Exons: 2
Source: RefSeq, a predicted model, not a curated record